GAUGUUAGCGGCGGACGGGUGAGUAACACGUGGGUAACCUACCUAUAAGACUGGGAUAACUCCGGGAAACCGGGGCUAAUACCGGAUAAUAUUUUGAACCGCAUGGUUCAAUAGUGAAAGACGGUUUCGGCUGUCACUUAUAGAUGGACCCGCGCCGUAUUAGCUAGUUGGUAAGGUAAUGGCUUACCAAGGCGACGAUACGUAGCCGACCUGAGAGGGUGAUCGGCCACACUGGAACUGAGACACGGUCCAGACUCCUACGGGAGGCAGCAGUAGGGAAUCUUCCGCAAUGGGCGAAAGCCUGACGGAGCAACGCCGCGUGAGUGAUGAAGGUCUUCGGAUCGUAAAACUCUGUUGUUAGGGAAGAACAAAUUUGUUAGUAACUGAACAAGUCUUGACGGUACCUAACCAGAAAGCCACGGCUAACUACGUGCCAGCAGCCGCGGUAAUACGUAGGUGGCAAGCGUUAUCCGGAAUUAUUGGGCGUAAAGCGCGCGUAGGCGGUUUCUUAAGUCUGAUGUGAAAGCCCACGGCUCAACCGUGGAGGGUCAUUGGAAACUGGGAAACUUGAGUGCAGAAGAGGAGAGUGGAAUUCCAUGUGUAGCGGUGAAAUGCGCAGAGAUAUGGAGGAACACCAGUGGCGAAGGCGGCUCUCUGGUCUGUAACUGAC
This 670-nucleotide ribosomal RNA is filed under the name Mammaliicoccus sciuri. RNAcentral describes it as "bacterial SSU rRNA". It matches the Rfam family "Bacterial small subunit ribosomal RNA", at positions 88 to 744 of the family's 1533-position model. The record is from RNAcentral. Lineage: Bacteria; Bacillati; Bacillota; Bacilli; Caryophanales; Staphylococcaceae.